This 491-nucleotide ribosomal RNA is filed under the name uncultured bacterium. RNAcentral's name for it is "partial 16S ribosomal RNA". It matches the Rfam family "Bacterial small subunit ribosomal RNA", at positions 28 to 507 of the family's 1533-position model. The record is from RNAcentral.
GAUGAACGCUGGCUACAGGCUUAACACAUGCAAGUCGAGGGGAAACGCCGGGGAAGCUUGCUUCCCCGGGCGUCGACCGGCGCACGGGUGAGUAACGCGUAUCCAACCUGCCUCUGACUGAGGGAUAACCCGUCGAAAGUCGGCCUAAUACCUCAUGGCAUCGUCUGCGGGCAUCCAACGACGAUUAAAGAUUUCAUCGGUCAGGGAUGGGGAUGCGUCUGAUUAGCUAGUUGGCGGGGUAACGGCCCACCAAGGCGACGAUCAGUAGGGGUUCUGAGAGGAAGGUCCCCCACAUUGGAACUGAGACACGGUCCAAACUCCUACGGGAGGCAGCAGUGAGGAAUAUUGGUCAAUGGGCGAGAGCCUGAACCAGCCAAGUAGCGUGCAGGAUGACGGCCCUAUGGGUUGUAAACUGCUUUUAUGCGGGGAUAAAGUGAGGGACGUGUCCUUCAUUGCAGGUACCGCAUGAAUAAGAACCGGCUAAUUCCGUG